CGUGGGUAACCUGCCCAAGAGAUCGGGAUAACACCUGGAAACAGAUGCUAAUACCGGAUAACAACAGAUGAUGCCUAUCAACUGUUUAAAAGAUGGUUCUGCUAUCACUCUUGGAUGGACCUGCGGUGCAUUAGCUAGUUGGUAGGGUAACGGCCUACCAAGGCGAUGAUGCAUAGCCGAGUUGAGAGACUGAUCGGCCACAUUGGGACUGAGACGCGGCCCAAACUCCUACGGGAGGCAGCAGGG
RNAcentral lists this ribosomal RNA (246 nucleotides) under uncultured Lactobacillus sp. RNAcentral's name for it is "partial 16S ribosomal RNA". It matches the Rfam family "Bacterial small subunit ribosomal RNA", at positions 116 to 354 of the family's 1533-position model. Lineage: Bacteria; Bacillati; Bacillota; Bacilli; Lactobacillales; Lactobacillaceae. The record is from RNAcentral.